RNAcentral lists this ribosomal RNA (312 nucleotides) under uncultured Clavulina. Its description in RNAcentral is "eukaryotic LSU rRNA". Lineage: Eukaryota; Fungi; Basidiomycota; Agaricomycetes; Cantharellales; Hydnaceae. The record is from RNAcentral.
UCCCCUGGUAUUCCGGGGAGCACGCCUGUUCGAGUGUCGUGAAAUUCUCAAACUGGGAUGCUUUUUGUUUCUCGGCUUGGUGUUGGGCUUUGCAGUUCCUUUGAUUGGGAUGGCUGGCCUCAAAAGCAUUAGCUGGCUUUUCAUGUGGCAUUGGUUCUACUCAGCGUGAUAAUAAUCUGACCGCCGAGGACAUCUUUCGAGAUGGCCAAUUCUCAUUUGGGCUGCUUCUAAUUUUGGUAGAGCGGAUUCUGAAUCUGUUCCACUUUUUCAACUUUUGACCUCGAAUCAGGUGGGACUACCCGCUGAACUUAA